RNAcentral lists this long non-coding RNA (353 nucleotides) under Rattus norvegicus (Norway rat). RNAcentral's name for it is "long non-coding RNA NONRATT016214". Lineage: Eukaryota; Metazoa; Chordata; Mammalia; Rodentia; Muridae. The record is from RNAcentral.
GACCCUGAACACGGCCAUGAAGAACGUGUGUGAGAUCCUCACCUCUGACCCAGAGGGUGGCCCCGCUCGCAUUCCCUUUGAGACGUUUGCCUACAUUUACCAGUACUUGUCUGCAUUGGAUCCAGAAUUCUCGGCCGUGGAGACCGAGACCUAUCUUGCCAAUUUAAGAGACACGUCAGAAUCUAGAAAGAAUGGCAUGAUAGGACUUUCGGACUUCGUCAUUGGAAAAAAGCCAGUAUAGGAAGCCUUGAAGAGAAAGCUCUGAAGAGUAGAGCCUUAAUGCAGAGAGGAACACGUUUAAUGUUGAAGCUUUUGCGAAACCUUGGCGCCAAAUACAGCUUGUCAUUACCUUG